GUGACCUCCUAAAAAGUAACGGAGGUGUACAAAGGUAAAUUAAAAAGUGUAAUAGCUAAAAUUUGCUUGAUUGAUAAAAAGACAUUUAUAUCAAGGACGUAAGUCUGUUAUAGUGAUCCAAUAGCACUAAAAAAAGUGAAGGCUAUUGCUUAACGGAUAAAAGUUACGCUAGGGAUAACAGGCUAAUGAUUUCCAAGAGUCCUAAUUGCCGGAAUCGUUUGGCACCUCGAUGUCGGCUCAUCUUAUCCUGGGUACGUAGGAAGAUCCAAGGGUACGUCUGUUCGACGUUUAAAAAGGUUACGUGAGCUGGGUUUAGAACGUCGUGAGACAGUUUGGUCCCUAUCUACUAUGGGUGUUCAAAAUUGAAAGGUUUUACGAGCUAGUAUGAGAAGAAUGCAUGGG
Molecule: ribosomal RNA, 402 nt
Filed under: uncultured bacterium
Lineage: Bacteria
Description: bacterial LSU rRNA
Rfam family: Bacterial large subunit ribosomal RNA
Source: RNAcentral